CAGGCAUGCUGGAGCUCCGCAGCGGCGCCCGGGUCGAGAACCCGACACCGUACUUCCAUCGGAGCUUGU
Rhizobium sp. Pop5 is the source of this 69-nucleotide non-coding RNA. NCBI's taxonomy places the organism in Bacteria, Pseudomonadati, Pseudomonadota, Alphaproteobacteria, Hyphomicrobiales, Rhizobiaceae. The record is from Rfam.